This 16-nucleotide small RNA is filed under the name Arabidopsis thaliana (thale cress). Its description in RNAcentral is "ATSL243210". The record is from RNAcentral. Lineage: Eukaryota; Viridiplantae; Streptophyta; Magnoliopsida; Brassicales; Brassicaceae.
AGAAGGGCAAAAAAUG